RNAcentral lists this long non-coding RNA (3526 nucleotides) under Homo sapiens (human). RNAcentral's name for it is "HSALNT0284918". Lineage: Eukaryota; Metazoa; Chordata; Mammalia; Primates; Hominidae. The record is from RNAcentral.
CAGAGCUAGCAGAAGACACAAAAUAACCAAAUCAGAGCUGAACUGACUAAAACUUAUUUGCACAAAAACAUACAAAAGGUCAAUUAGUCCAGGUUGGUUCUUCAAAACAAUAAAUAAGAUUGAUAGACUGCUAGCUACAUUAAUAAAGAGAUAAGAUAAAAAUAAACACAAUCAGAAAUGACAAAAGGGACAUUACUACUGACUCCACAGAAAUACAAAAAAAAAAACAACCCUUACAGACUACUUUGAACACCUAUAUGCAUAAAAACUAGAAAACCUCGAAUAAAUGAAUAAAUUCCUGGAAACAUACAACUCCCCAAGAUUGAACCAGGAAGAAAUUGAAUCCCUGAACAGGCAAAUAAUGAGCUCUGAAAUUGAAUGAGCAAUAAAAAGCAUACAAACAAGAAAAAGCCCAAGACCAGAUUGAUUCACUGCCGAAUUCUACCAGAUGUAUAAAGAAGAACUGAGACCAUUCCUACUGAAACUAUUCCCCAAAAUUGAGGAGGAGAUACUUUUCCCUAACUCAUUCUAUGAGACCAGCAUCAUCCUGAUCCAAAACCUAGCAGAGACAACAACAACAACAAUAACUUCAGGCCAAUUUCUUUGAUGAACAUAGAUGCAAAAAUCCUCAACAAAAUACUAGCAAACUGAAUCCAGCAGAACAUCAAAAAGCUAAUCCAUCAUGAUCAAGUAGGCUUUAUCUCUAGGAUACAAGGUUGGUUGAACAUAUGUUUCAUAUGUUCAUAACAGAACUAAAACAUAACAUAAACAGAACUAAAAACAAGACAUGAUCAUCUCUAUGUAUGCAGAAAGGCUUUCAAUAAAAUUCAACAUCCCUUCAUGAUAAAACCCUCAAUGAACUAGUCGUUGAAGGAACAUACCUCAAAAUAAGAGGCAUAUAUGACAACCCCACAGCCAAUAUCAUAUUGAACAGCCACAAGCUGGAAGCAUUACCCUUGAGGACUGGAUGCCCACUCUUGCCACUCCUAUUCAACAUAAUUCUGUAAGUCCUAGCCAGAGCAAUCAGGCAAGAGAAAGAAAUAAAAGGCAUCUAAACAGGAAGAGGGGAAGUCAAACUAUCUGUUUGCAGAUGAUAUUACUCUGUACCUAGAAAACCCCAUAAUCUGCCCUAAAGCUCCUCGAACUUCAACUUUAGCAAACAAAAUCAGUGUACAAAAUCAUUAGCAUUUCUAUACACCAACAAUGUCCAACUCUGAGAGCCAAGUCAAGUAUGCAAUCCCAUUUACAAUUACAAAAACAGAAACAAAAACCUAGGAAUACAGUUAACCAGGGAGGUGAAAGAUCUCUACAAAGAGAAUUACAAAACACUGCUCAAAUAAUUUAGAGAUGACCCAAACAAAUGGAAAAACAUUCCAUGCUCAUGGAUAGGAAGAAUUGCUAUUGUUAAAAUGGCCAUACUACCAAAGCAAUUUAUAGAUUCAAUGCUAUUCCAAUCAAUCAAUGACAUUCUUCACAGCAUUAGAAAAAACUGUUUUAAAAUUCAUAUGUAACCAAAAUAGAGCCCAAAUAGCCAAGGCAAUUCUGAGGAAAAGUAACAAAGCCAGAGACAUCAUGUUACCUGGCUUCAAACUAUGCUACAUAGCAUACCUGACUUUGAGCGGCUACAGUAACCAAAACAGCAUCGUACUGGUACAAAAUCAGACACAGAGACCAAUAUAACAUAACAAAGAGCCCAGAAAUAAAGCCACACACCUACCACCAUCUGAUCCUUAACAAAGUCAUCAGAAAUAAGCAAUGGGAAAAUAACCCCCUAUUCAAUAAAUGGUGCUGGUAUAACUGGCUAGCCAUAUGCAGAAGAUUGAAACUAGACCCCUUCCUUACAUCAUAUACUAAGCUCAAGAUGGAUUAAAGACUUAAAUGUAAAACCUAAAACUAUAAAAAGUCUUGAAAGCCAGGUGCGGUGGCUCACGCUUGUAAUCCCAACACUUUGGGAGGCCGAGGCGGGCGGAUCAAGAGGUCAGGAGAUCGAGACCAUCUUGGCUAACAUGGUGAAACCCCAUCUCUACUAAAAAUAUAAAAAAUUAGCCGGCUGUGGUGGCGGGCGCCUGUAGUCCUAGCUACUCAGGAGGCUGAGGCAGGAGAAUGGCGUGAACCCGGGAGGCGGAGGUUGCAAUGAGCCGAGAUCAUGCCACUGUACUCCAGCCUGGGCGACAGAGCGUGACUCCGUCUCAAAAAAAAAAAAAAAAAAAAAAAGGAAAAAAAAAGUCUUGAAAAAAGCCUGGGAAAUAGUAUGCUAGACAUUGGCCCUGGCAAAUAUUUUAUGAUGAAGAAACCAAAAGCAAUUGCAACAAUACCAAAAAUUAACUAAUGGAACCUAACUAAAUUAAUAGCUUCUGCACAGCAAAAGAAACUAUCAACAGAGUAAACAUACAGCCUACAGAAUGGGAGAAAAUACUUGCAAACUAUGCAUCCAACAAUGAUCUAAUAUCCAGAAUCUAUAAGGAACUUCAACAAACGUAUAAGCAAAAAACAGCCCUAUUAAAAAGUGGGCAAAGAACAUGAACAGAUACUUUUCAAAAGAAAACAUAUGCGUGGCCAACAAGCAUAUGAAAAAGUGCUCAACAUCACUAAUCAUUAGAUAAAUGCAAAACUACAAUGAGAUACCAUGUCACACCAGUCAGAAGGGCUAAUAUUAAAAAGUCAAAAAUUACAGAUGCUAGCGAGGUUGUGGAGGAAAGGAAAUGCUUAUACACUUCUGGUGGGAAUGUAAAUUACUUCAGACAUCGUGGAAAGCAGUGUGGUGAUUUCUCAAAGGACUUAAAAUGGAAUUUCCAUUCAACCCAGCCAUCCCAUUAUUGGGUAUAUACUCAAAGGAAUAUAAAUUAUUCUACUAUAAAGUGACAUGCACACAUUCCACAGCACUAUUCACAAUAGCAAACGCAUGGAAUCAUCCUAAAUGCUCAUCAAUGGUAGACUGGAUAAACAAAACGUAGUACAUACACACCACGGAAUACUACACAACCAUAAAAAGAAUGAGAGCAUGUUCUUUGCAGCAGCAUAGAUGGAGCUGGAGGCCACUAUCUUAAGUGAACUAAUACAGGAACAGAAAACCAAAUACAACAUGUUCUCACCUGUAAGUGGGAGAUAAACAUGAGUACACGUGGACACGUGUACUUGAGAAUAGAGGGUGGGAGAGGACUGAAAAACUACCUAUCAUGUACUAUGCUUGUUACCUGGAUGAUGAGAUAAUCUGUACACCCAACCCCUGUGACAAGCAAUUUACCUAUAUAACAAACCAGCAAAUAUACCCCUGAGCCCCUAGCCUAAAGUAAAAGUUUAAAAAGUAUUAAGUGAAUAAAGAAAUGAAUUAUACUUGAAUAUAAAAAUAAAAGAAAUAGCAACUCUCAUACUGGGAUAUUAGGAGUAUAUCUGAUAAAUAUUAUUCUGAUUUCAUUAUAUUAAUAUAAAAUUUUAGAGUAUCUGAGAUUUUAAAAGGAUGCUUUCAAAAUCUUAUUAAGAAAUUCUUGCCAAGACAUUUGUGUAUAUGAGCAAGUGUUACAAAUAU